GCGGCUUCUGCCAAGGCCGGCGCGCCUGCGCGCUCCUGCGUGUGCCUUUGGAGCUCGUACAGGCGGCUUCCCCGGCUCUCCGGUGGUGGGAGGACAGGGUUCUGCGGUGCCCUUUGUCGACCCCGCUGUGCAGGGCAGGGAAGGUCAGGAUCGCGAAGAGCCAAGUUCGAGCUCCGAUAACUCUCCGUGCCCUUAGAGGGUGGGGCGGGGAGGCGUGACUGCCCUUGAUGAUGGAGACAUUUAUUAUAAAAUCAUUUCUCGUGGAACAAGAACAUGUACUUUCAUGGUGCAAGGCUGCCUGAUGUUUCCCAGGUUUCAAUGGCCCAGGCAGAUAAAGAAAACUCAGCAAGGUCAGAAGAAAGAAGAACAGAUCUAUCCUUAAGUAGGAAAAAUAACCGUGUUCCAAGUAUACAGAACGGGAACAAAUGAAGUAUUUCUGGUCAGAGUUUCCAAGUGGAUAUGGUUAUUACCGAGAAAGGCAGACUCACGGACCCAGCUCCCCACUCGGCCACGUAAGAAUGGGCCUUGGACCUGGAACACUUCCUUACCAAGGUAUGAAGAGCCCACACAGCCUGUGCUGGGUUGACUGCCUCAUGUGGGAGUAUCUUUCCCUGUUUCAUGCUUAAUGAAUGUUCCUUCACUCUGCUUAAACCUGUGUGCCAGUGACCCACAGGCACACACCUAGCUUUCAGUAUUUCAGACACCAUGGGGAGUGGUCAGAGUUCUGCUGUGACACGAGAAGGGUGUGUAUAGGCCAAUUGCCCUGCACUGGCUGCCCAGGGGACCCGCUGGCCAUGGGGGACCGACCCCCACUAUCGAAGCUGGUCUUGCUCUGUGUUUUCUCCAUGUAAGUCAAACAUCAUUCCAUUUAGUGCUUGACCGUGUUGUGUUUUCCUUGGCAACUCCAGUACCAUCGUGCGAUGGGCAGAAGUGUUUAGAGUCCUCUGUUAGCUGGUGUGCAGUGUUUUGCUCCCCUGGGAUUGAUAGCUGGCGCACAGUGUUCUGCUUGACAGUGAUAUAUAGUUAUAUUUUGCACAAAAGUAUAGUGAGUGCCUUAUCUUUAGAUAGGCAGAAUGGUGAGUAAAUUCCUUAGCAUCAGUAGUUGUAUUAGUUGGAACUUUUCAAAACAGAUGAUAAAGCAAACAAAAAGGACUUUAGCUAAACAGGGAUCUAUUAGAAGUGUCUUGGGAUAAUUCAUUGCACCAUUUUCUCAAUGGGAUAGUGAUGUGUUUGGUGGAAAGAUGCCCAUAGACAGAGUUAAAGGAAUGUGUUAUCUCUGAUGUCAAAAGACACAGAAACUUAGCUUCAUGCGACUUAGCUUCAUCUUCUGCAGGAGAUGAUGCAGCUGGCAUCCUUGAUUCCUCCAAGAUCCCUUUAAGCCAGUGGGCACAGAGUGACUAUUUUACUGGGUGGGAGAAAUGCUCACCUGCUUCUUCUCUUGAAGUCUUUUUACUCUCUUAGCCCAUUUCAGUCAUACUGGAGAGCCUGGCUACCUGCUUGCCUACUUGCCAGAUAUAAGAAACGGACACAAAACAACUCAUUUGCCAUGAGACUUGGGACAGUAAAUGUUCAUUUACCUCAAGUUUCUGGUUCUGAGACUUCAGACCUGCUUGAAGUCCAUUCCAUACUUCUAGAAUAGAGAUCAGAACCAACAAACCAGUCUUGAGGAAGCAAGAACCAGGGUGGCCCUGGGAACUUCAGCGAUAAGAUGGGGGUGUCCCCUCUGCUCAAGACUACUUCCCUCCCUGCCUCUGCCUCUCUGUGCAGGUUUCAGCCAGGAUGUUGAAACCCUGCUUGAUGGCCGCUCCAGGGCUCACAUCCUUUCAGCACAGAUACCUGGAAAGAAACAGUUCCCUUCCCUUAGGGCUGUUUUGGUGGAAAUAUCCAAAGCAAGCU
This is a long non-coding RNA of Ailuropoda melanoleuca (giant panda), 1896 nucleotides long. The record is from Ensembl. NCBI's taxonomy places the organism in Eukaryota, Metazoa, Chordata, Mammalia, Carnivora, Ursidae.